GUGAGCGUAGCUCAGAUGGUUAGAGCUCUGGAUUGUGGUUCCAGAGGCCGGGGGUUCGAGUCCCCUCGCUCACCCCA
This 77-nucleotide transfer RNA is filed under the name Synergistaceae bacterium. Its description in RNAcentral is "tRNA-His". It matches the Rfam family "tRNA". Rfam says of the family: Transfer RNA (tRNA) molecules are approximately 80 nucleotides in length. Their secondary structure includes four short double-helical elements and three loops (D, anti-codon, and T loops). Further hydrogen bonds mediate the characteristic L-shaped molecular structure. tRNAs have two regions of fundamental functional importance: the anti-codon, which is responsible for specific mRNA codon recognition, and the 3' end, to which the tRNAs corresponding amino acid is attached (by aminoacyl-tRNA synthetases). tRNAs cope with the degeneracy of the genetic code in two manners: having more than one tRNA (with a specific anti-codon) for a particular amino acid; and 'wobble' base-pairing, i.e. permitting non-standard base-pairing at the 3rd anti-codon position. The record is from RNAcentral. Lineage: Bacteria; Thermotogati; Synergistota; Synergistia; Synergistales; Synergistaceae.